This 846-nucleotide ribosomal RNA is filed under the name uncultured bacterium. RNAcentral's name for it is "bacterial SSU rRNA". It matches the Rfam family "Bacterial small subunit ribosomal RNA", at positions 649 to 1501 of the family's 1533-position model. The record is from RNAcentral.
UGUCAUAGGGGGGUAGAAUUCCACGUGUAGCAAUAAAGUAGGGAGAGAUGUGGAGGAAUACCGAUGGAGCAGGCAGCCCCUAGGCAUAACACUAAGUCUCAUGCACGAAAGAGUGGGGAGCAAACAGGAUUAGAUCACGUGGUAGUCCACGCGUUGAACGAUGUCAACUAGUUGUCGGGUAUUAAUUGACUUGGUAAUGCAGGUAACGGAGGAAUUGGACCGCCUGGGGAGUACGGUGUCAAGAUUAAAACUCAAAGGAAUUGACGGGGACCCGCACAAGCGGCGGAUGAUGUAGAUUAAUUCGAUGCUACGCGAAAAACCUUACCUACCCUUGACAUGGUUGGAAUUCUUCAGAGAUGAGAAAGUGCUCGAAAGAGAACCAAUACACAGGUGCUGCAUGGCUGUCGUCAUCUCGUGUCGUGAGAUGUUGGGUUAAGUCCUGCAACGAGCGCAACCCUUGUCAUUAGUUGCUACGAAAGGGCACUCUAAUGAGACUGCCGGUGACAAACCGGAGGAAGGUGGGGAUGACGUCAAGUCCUCAUGGCCCUUAUGGGUAGGGCUUCACAGGUCAUACAAUGGUACAUACAGAGGGUCGCCAACCCGCGAGGGGGAGUUAAUCCCAGAAAGUGUAUAGUAGUCCGGACAGUAGUCUGCAACUUGACUACAUGAAGUUGGAAUCGCUAGUAAUCGCGGAUCAGCAUGAUCAGGUGAAUACGUUCCCGGGUCUUGUACACNCCGCCCGUCACACCAUGGGAGCGGGUUUUACCUGAAGUAGGUAGCUUAACGGCAAGGAGGGCGCCUACCACGGUAGGAUUCGUGAUUGGGGGAAGUCGUAACAAGGUAACC